ACAACGGAGAGUUUGAUCCUGGCUCAGGAUGAACGCUGGCGGCGUGCUUAACACAUGCAAGUCGAACGAACCUUCGGGUUAGUGGCGGACGGGUGAGUAACGCGUGGGUAACCUGCCUCAUACAGGGGGAUAACAGUUGGAAACGGCUGC
RNAcentral lists this ribosomal RNA (150 nucleotides) under Prochlorococcus marinus XMU1426. RNAcentral's name for it is "partial 16S ribosomal RNA". It matches the Rfam family "Bacterial small subunit ribosomal RNA", at positions 1 to 163 of the family's 1533-position model. The record is from RNAcentral. Lineage: Bacteria; Bacillati; Cyanobacteriota; Cyanophyceae; Synechococcales; Prochlorococcaceae.